AAGGAAAUGGAAUGGAAAUAGAAACAUGGAGAGAUGAAGGAAUAAUAUAAAAUUUCCAAUCAUUGAAAAAAAAAAACCUCAUGCCUUUAUAGUGAGAUGUUAGGAAGUCCCAAAUCAUCUGAUAUAUAAUUUUGUUUGGCCUUUAAAACAGUUUGCAUGGGCCUGGUGGCACACCCCUUUAAUCUCAGGACUUGAGAAGCAGAUGCAAGUGAAUGUUUGAGUUGAAGACCACCCUAAUAUCCUGUUAUAGAAAGGGAGUCCCAGGCCAACGGGGGCCACAUAGUGAGUGAGACCUUGUCUCAAGAAGAGAGGGAAAAAAAGAGAAGAAGAAUAUGUAGAGUUUUGUUUAGGAAAACCACACAGAAAUCUUUUGAAAUUAUUUAAAUUUAUAAUAAAAGAUUAACAUCAACUUCAAUAUAUGUUACUCUUUUGUAGAACCAUGUUUGGGGACAUGUGAGAAAAAAAUGUUAGGAUUAUUUGGGGAGGAGUGAGAUUUUAGUGCCUAAAAGAAGGCAGUGGACACAUGGAAAUACAAGAAGACACAGGCAGGAGAGAAGCCAGCGGUUGAGUCAUUUAUCUUCAUGGAGUUUGGACAAUGGCCACAUCCGUCUCUGACAAGGAUUCCUGGAAAAAUUCCCAGAGCCAUAGAAACAUGGGAUGCAAUGUUUUCUUUUUAAUCACAGUGUUGAGUUCCAGAAAAUUUUCCAAGAUAGCAGUUCCUAUUAGAAAUUUAAAAGCGAAACCUUCACUUACUGUAAAUGUCUGAGAUGUACACUAUAAAGGAAGUACAUUAUUUCAUACAUAGAAAUACUGGCUACCCUACCACACUCAUCCUAGGUUUUAUUGUUUUGAAUAUAAAAUGCUAAAACACAUUGGUGUCCCUCAUUCAUUUGUAUAACAUGGUAGAAAUGUCUGGUUUGUGCCAAGUGCUGCCUUGGAGCUGUGGGUGCGGACAAUGCACCCAAGCCACACCCUCUGACAGGUGGGUAGAGGAAGAUGGGCCUAAGAAUUAGCUGGCUAUGUGGGCAGGAGUUAGCAUACACAAAGAGCACUCUGUGCUUCAUCAUAAUUAGCCUGCAUGCAUUUUUGUCUUGAACACUGGCAGAUCUUGGAAAACCUUCAGGGAUCUAAAUAAAAAGAAUAUAUUUUAGAAACAAAACUUUGAGUAGAAAGAUUACACUGUGGAAUAUGGUAGGGAUCAAGAAACUGAAUUCCAAAGCUACUGUGAUAUUCUAGACAUAGCUGAUGGCUGGUGCUAAUGUGUCUAAAACUUAGGUUUUCACAAACUCAAAGGAUUCUUAUAAGUUCCAGGGAGCAGAAUUGGACCCACUCAAACAGGUCAGAGUCACUACAGAUAAAUAUUAUUCAACCUUUCCCUGGUCCCAGGACUCCCUUCCUUCAUCUUGGAACCUCUUGGGGAAUUCCUCCCUCAUAUGAUCCUCUCCCCUCAAGUACUAGGACCUAAGAUUUUUUUCCUAAAUUUAACCUUUUCCUCUGCUCUGCCAACAUCUUGCCAGGUCUAAGAGGUGCCAGAGAGUUCCAUACAGUCUGGACUGAAAUGAAACAACCAGCUACCCCAGGACAUGGGUGGCAGCAACCCCAGUUUUCUCAGGUCUACAAAAGAUGGUGACACCCCCAUGUCAGUAGCAAGUAGUCUUGAGAACUUGGCACAUAACUCCUAACCUUUUUAAUAAUAAAUAAAGGUGGGACUAUAAGGAUUCAGGCAUUAUGCUGGCCUGCCCCUGUUACCUGGCAGAAUGCGCUCAGGCAGAACCCAGGGUUCUAUGGUUGUGGAUCUGCACACAGGCUCAAAGGACCCCUUUAAAAGAAAGACCCCCAUCCACUUAUGCUCUCUUUCUGUUCUCUUCUGUUCUCUUUCCUCGCAGUUCCCCUGGGACAGAAGGGCUUUUCCUGUCUCCUCUCCUCUUCUGUCCUCUCAGUGUCUCUGCAUCUCUUCACCUCUUUUCUCUUUCCUUCCCCCUUCCCUCCCCUUUCUAAUAAAACUUCCCACUUAAGCUCUGUCUGCCUGGCGUGUUUGUCCCUCUAUCUUAGUCACCCUCAUCUUCCAUGGAAUCUGCCAAGGUCCCCAGGAGCUUUAUCAUAAUAGCUGGGCUCAAUUAAUCUUGAUAACAGUGGAAAUAAACUUGAUUGGCUGAGAAGACAUGCAACCAGGAGUAAAUGAUUUAGAGAUGAGUGAAAAAAAGAACUGAGGUUAGAGAUGAGCAGGGGGGAUGGGCAGGAGAAGAGAAAGACCACCAGGAACAUAAGUACCAUCCUAGGAUGCAGAUGACUCUUCUUCCCC
Molecule: long non-coding RNA, 2302 nt
Filed under: Cricetulus griseus (Chinese hamster)
Lineage: Eukaryota; Metazoa; Chordata; Mammalia; Rodentia; Cricetidae
Description: lncRNA (ENSCGRG00015039455.1)
Source: RNAcentral